Molecule: ribosomal RNA, 468 nt
Filed under: uncultured bacterium
Lineage: Bacteria
Description: partial 16S ribosomal RNA
Rfam family: Bacterial small subunit ribosomal RNA
Source: RNAcentral
GACGAACGCUGGCGGCGGGCUUAACACAUGCAAGUCGAACGGAAAGGCCCUGCUUUUGUGGGGUGCUCGAGUGGCGAACGGGUGAGUAACACGUGAGUAACCUGCCCUUGACUUUGGGAUAACUUAAGGAAACUGGGGCUAAUACCGGAUAGGAGCUCCUGCUGCAUGGUGGGGGUUGGAAAGUUUCGGCGGUUGGGGAUGGACUCGCGGCUUAUCAGCUUGUUGGUGGGGUGGUGGCUUACCAAGGCUUUGACGGGUAGCCGGCCUGAGAGGGUGACCGGCCACAUUGGGACUGAGAUACGGCCCAGACUCCUACGGGAGGCAGCAGUGGGGAAUAUUGCACAAUGGGCGGAAGCCUGAUGCAGCAACGCCGCGUGCGGGAUGACGGCCUUCGGGUUGUAAACCGCUUUCGCCUGUGACGAAGCGUGAGUGACGGUAAUGGGUAAAGAAGCACCGGCUAACUACGUG